AGUGAACGCUGGCGGUAGGCCUAACACAUGCAAGUCGAACGGCAGCACAGGAGAGCUUGCUCUCUGGGUGGCGAGUGGCGGACGGGUGAGGAAUACAUCGGAAUCUACUUUUUCGUGGGGGAGAACGUAGGGAAACUUACGCUAAUACCGCAUACGACCUACGGGUGAAAGCAGGGGACCUUCGGGCCUUGCGCGAUUGAAUGAGCCGAUGUCGGAUUAGCUAGUUUGCGGGGUAAAGGCCCACCAAGGCGACGAUCCGUAGCUGGUCUGAGAGGAUGAUCAGCCACACUGGAACUGAGACACGGUCCAGACUCCUACGGGAGGCAGCAGUGGGGAAUAUUGGACAAUGGGCGCAAGCCUGAUCCAGCCAUACCGCGUGGGUGAAGAAGGCCUUCGGGUUGUAAAGCCCUUUUGUUGGGAAAGAAAUCCAGCUGGCUAAUACCCGGUUGGGAUGACGGUACCCAAAGAAUAAGCACCGGCUAACUUCGUGCCAGCAGCCGCCGUAA
RNAcentral lists this ribosomal RNA (506 nucleotides) under uncultured bacterium. Its description in RNAcentral is "partial 16S ribosomal RNA". It matches the Rfam family "Bacterial small subunit ribosomal RNA", at positions 29 to 523 of the family's 1533-position model. The record is from RNAcentral.